CAACUUUCAGCAACGGAUCUCUUGGCUCUUGCAUCGAUGAAGAACGCAGCGAAAUGCGAUAAGUAAUGUGAAUUGCAGAAUUCAGUGAAUCAUCGAAUCUUCGAACGCACCUUGCGCUCCUUGGUAUUCCGAGGAGCAUGCCUGUUUGAGUGUCAUGA
This 158-nucleotide ribosomal RNA is filed under the name Phylloporia weberiana. Its description in RNAcentral is "5.8S ribosomal RNA". It matches the Rfam family "5.8S ribosomal RNA". From Rfam's summary of the family: 5.8S ribosomal RNA (5.8S rRNA) is a component of the large subunit of the eukaryotic ribosome. Lineage: Eukaryota; Fungi; Basidiomycota; Agaricomycetes; Hymenochaetales; Hymenochaetaceae. The record is from RNAcentral.